CUGUACUGAAAUCCAGACGAGUGCCUAAGACGCCCUGCAGACUCCUCCAAAAGCGCGACACAAAUCGGGUGUCUCGAUCCGAUACAAUCGAUGUAGGCACUCCAUGAAGUCGCACAAUCUCAUCGAGGUACACUUGUGCGAGCUUCUCCCCAGUCCAAGUCGUAUGAAUAGGUAGGAAGUGCGCCGACUUCGUCAACCUAUCCACGAUAACCCAAAUAGCAUCAUGCCCGGCCUGCGAGCGGGGCAAUCCUGUCACGAAAUCCAUGGUGAUCUUCUCCCACUUCAAAACGGGAACAGGCAAACUCUGAAGUUUUCCCGCGGGAACGCGAUGCUCAGCCUUUACUUGUUGGCAAGUUAGACAACGAGCUACAAACUCGCCAACGUCCUUUUUCAUCCCGGGCCACCAAUAAAGCAACUUUAAAUCCUUAUACAUCUUGGUGCCACCCGGAUGUAUAGCAUAGGGCACUCGGUGUGCUUCUUGAAGAAUAUCCUCUUUAAUCCCCGAAUUCGCGGGUACACAAAUCCGCCCACGGAAACGCAUCAAUCCCUGAUCAUCCAAAAUGAAGUCGCCGGUGCAACCAUCAACUAUUUUACCUUUAAUCUUUUGCAACUCCACAUCGGAAGCUUGCUUUUCUUUAAUUCUAUCAAAUACUGUAGGUUGCACCACCAAUGUCAUCAACCUCAAAGGCGUGUCAGGAGUCACCACCUCCAACUCCAACUGCUUCAUCUGCUCGAUCAACUGCGGUGGAGUAACUAAAUGCAUCGCUAAGUUUUCAGUCGAUUUCCUAAUUAGCGCAUCUGUCACCAUAUUAGCCUUGCCCAGGUGGUAAAGAAUAGUAAGAUCAUAAUCCUUGAGUAGCUCCAACCAUCUGCGCUGCCUCAAGUUCAACUCCUUCUGAGUAAACAGGUACUUCAAGCUCUUGUGAUCCGUGUACACUUCACACCGCUCGCUAUAAAGAUAGUGGCGCCAUAGCUUCAAUGCGAACACUACAGCCGCCAACUCCAAAUCAUGCAUCGGGUAGUUCUUUUCAUAUUCCUUUAGUUGGCGAGAAGCAUACGCGAUCACCUUGCCAUCCUGCAUCAAUACACAGCCCAAUCCAUUAAGUGACGCAUCACUAUAUACCACAUACCCUGCUCCAGCUACUGGUAGGGUAAAGAUCGGGGCGGUCGUAAAUCUCUGCUUCAACUCUAGGAAGCUUCGCUCGCACGCAUCAUUCCAAAUGAACUUGACUCCUUUAUGCGUGAGCCUCGUGAGGGGAGUGGACAACUUAGCAAAUCCCUCAACAAAUCUCCGGUAGUAACCGGCCAAUCCAAGGAAGCUCCGUAUCUCCGUGACACUCGUCAGUCUCGGCCAACCCUUGAUUGCUUCAAUCUUCUUGGGAUCCACCGCAAUACCUGAUCCUGAAAUCAAGUGUCCAAGGAAAGCUACCUCUCGAAGCCAAAAUUCACAUUUCUUCAACUUGGCAUAAAGCUCCUUUUUCCGAAGUACUUGGAGUACAAUUCUCAAAUGCCCCUCGUGAUCUGUAUCACUUCGAGAGUAGACCAAAAUGUCGUCGAUGAACACCACGACGAACCUGUCUAGAUAAGGCUUGAAAAUAUGGUUCAUUAGAUCCAUAAAAGCGGCUGGGGCAUUAGUCAGCCCAAACGGCAUAACUGUGAACUCAUAGUGUCCAUACCGUGUUCUAAAAGCUGUCUUCGAUACGUCCUCGGGUUUGAUCUUCAAUUGGUGGUAUCCAGACUGCAAGUCUAUCUUGGAAUACACACACGAUCCCUGAAGCUGAUCAAAUAAGUCGUCGAUCCUCGGCAACGGAUACUUGUUCUUGAUCGUGACUUUAUUAAGUUCACGAUAAUCCACGCAAAAGCGAAGUGAUCCGUCUUUCUUCUUGACGAACAAAACGGGUGCUCCCCAAGGUGAAACGCUCGGCCGAAUGAAGUCCUUGUCCAACAAAUCCUGCAACUGUGCCCUUAACUCCCUCAGCUCUGCCGGCGCCAUCCUAUAGGGCGCCUUUGAGAUUGGGGUAGUCCCAGGGACGAGAUCUACCACAAACUCGAUCUCCCUAUCAGGAGGCAUACCCGGUAGCUCAGCUGGAAACACAUCCUGAAACUCCCGCACCACCGGGAUAUCCUCAAUUCUAGGGGUAUCAUCCUCGCCCCUAAACACAACACUAGCCAAGUAGGUUACGCAACCUCUGCUGAUCAGCUGCCUAGCUCGAGACGAGCUGAUCAUCAUCGCAAAUAGCGAACUCCGGCAUCCACAAAAUACCACCUCGGUCUGCCCCGGUUCUCUAAAAGUAACCGUGCGGUUCUUGCAAUCAAUCGUGGCAUAAUACUUGGUCAACCAAUUCAUGCCUAAGACCACGUCAAAAUCCCCCAGCUUGCGCAAUGCUAGCAAAUCUAUAGGCAUGAUCCAAUCUCCUACCCGAACAGGGCAACUGGGGCUAUACUCUCUAAUAUCCAAAACGUGGUCGGGUACAACAACAUGUCCCGUGUGCAACAAAGGAACCAAUGGAAUGCCAUGCAACUCGGCAAACAGCCGAUCUAUAAAUGAAUGCGAUGCUCCAGUAUCAAAUAAAGCACGAACUCUAAUGCCAUUAAGUAAAAUGAUACCUGCAACCACAUCCUCGGCUGCUGCCGCCUCCUCGGUCUGAGCGGCGUACAUGCGCCCACUCGGGGCUUGUCGAGAUCCCUCGCUCUGGAGCUGGACGGGUGGCCGCCCAGGCUGAUACUGCGCUGACGGAAUCCCCUGGCUGGCGACUGGUAGAGCCGGUGCCGAUGCAGUCUACAGUGCUGGUGAAGAACCCCUCGGGCACUCAGUCCGCACGUGGCCCUCCAGGCCACACUAGAAGCACCUGCCCGCCAGCUGUGGACACUGCGGUGGGUGAUGAGGUCCACCACAGAUCACACACGGGGAGGGCCGGCGUCGGUCAUAGCCUCCUCGUUGAGCUGUUGAGCCGCGUCCACGCUGCUGGCUCUUCGGAUGCUUCGGCGGCCUCUUAGAGUGCGUCUGGCUCGCACCCUCAGCCGCAGGCCUCUUGGCCUUGCCUUUGUCCAUGGCCUCACGCCGCUUCUGUACCUCUGCCGCGUCGCUCUCCACAAUGAGCGGGCGAUCCACCACCUCCCGGUAGGUUUGGAGGUUAGAGGAUUGCACAAACCGGAAGAUCGACGGUCGCAACCCUCGCUUGAAGAUACGGGCCUUGUCCUCGUCGUCCCGCACGACGAAGGGCACGCAGUGUAGAAGCCGAGAAAACUCCUUCUCGUACUCGGCUACGGUGCGGUCUCCCUGGCGCAAGCUGUGCAGAUCCUGCUCCAUCUUCCUCUUGACGCUAGUCGGGAAGUAGUGCGCCAAAAGAAGCUCCUUGAACCUCGUCCAAGUGAUAGCUGCCAAGUCUAUGCGGGGGUUCUACUGGAGAUCCAACCACCAGCGGUAGGCCUCACCAUCCAAGUGGUGAGUGACGGGCCAAACUCUGUCCCUCUCCUCCACGAACGUGUCGCGGAAGAGCUUCUCCAUUUGCAUCAACCACUUCUCCACGAUCCAGUGGUCGACCUCCUCGCCGUCGAAGACUCGGGGGCUGCACCUCCUGAACUCAUUGAGGCGCUCCAUCAGUCUAUCUCGCUCCGCCCCCUCGACCAAUGUAGGGAAUGCCGCUCCAGCUGGGGGCCUCUGAACAAGUGGUGCCGCCAAAACCUCCUCCUGGGGUACGGCCACAGGCGCCGCACGUGAAGAACUGGGCGCGGGGGACAGCGCUCUCGGUGCAACAUCCACAACGGGUGCUGGCGGUGUAGGGGCCUGCGUCUCCCUAGAAGCUGCCGCCUGCUACAAUAGUAGGUCCUCCAGACGCUUCAUCAGCGCCUCCUGUCAGCGUGCCGCCUCAGUCUACUGUCGAGCCGCCUCCGCCUGCUGAAUGACUAAAUUAGUGAGGGCCGCAAGCUAGCCCCUCAACUCACGGACCUCGCUGGAUCCGGAGGUAGCGGAGGUCUCGACCUCCUCAAAGUUUGCCGCAUUGUCCGCCCCGGUAGAUUGGGAGCGAGUAAUCGGCAUCGUCACUACAACAUCAUAAAAGUGUAAGUUUGUAAAACCCACGCCAACGCAUCCCCGCUUAAAAGACAAUACCCAAAUCAUGCGAAAGCAAGAAAGUGUUAUCCACAACUAACUCCCGAUGUUACGUUGUCGGCCGCCAACGUAACCCUCCGCGAGGUUAGAAGCCAUACACUUCGAUUCAACUCUAACUUUUUAGAGUUAUCAAGAUACCCAAUAAAGGUACUUUCGCUCACAAAUCAAAUAGACCUCGUCUCUCACGAGCCUAUUUCCUAUAGUCCAACCGGCCUAAGGUUUCCUAGGUCCCCUAAGACUCAACCCUAGGCUCUGAUACCAAAUUAAUCUGUCACGCCCCGGGGCUCAGCGGAAGCCUACCCGGCACGUGUCCAGACCCGCCAUAAAUUUUGAUAAAUAAAAUAAUAAUACAAAGUGAUCUAGUGAUAUCAGAGCUUUGUACAACUAGUUCUAUAACAAGGAAAAGGACAUAAAGCUGGAAAUACACUAAAUACAAAAAAAACAUAAAGUAACUACGAUAGGAAUCCAUAACAAGUGCUAAACAAAGUACAAGGUGGUCUCUCUAUACAUGGUACAAAACCUCUCCCUCUCUCUAACACAAAUAAAGAAGGAGUAACCACCUAGCGCAAAAGAACUCUCCCCGAGCUAGCUAUGCGACACCCUUGCCGCGAUCCCGUGCCUCCGCCGAUGCGAAGGCUCUGAAGAAGAAACAUAGAAAUAGGGGUGUGAGAACUAUUAAUUAAUAGUUCCCAGUGGGCAAUUACUGGCUUCAGUGAAAUGCACCACUAGGCCCAACUACAAAAGAGGGUCAGUGUAAAUAAAUAACCAAAAGGGAUAAAUGCAACGGAUAAGUAAAAAUGAAUACCAUAUAACCAUGAUGUCUCUACUUAGCUUUAUUUGCAUAAGUAAGAAAACUGCUACUAUGAGUAUAUGCACAUGAAUAUCGAACAUGUAAACGCAUGAAUAUGCAACUAACCCAAUGUCCACAGGGUAAUAGUAAAGAUGACAUUUCUUACUAUUCUAGUCGAUGUUCACUUUAACAGUUCAAGGUUCAACUCUGAUAAGCCCACCCGAAGGCUGUCUGGCAUAAGACCCACCCGUAGGCUGUCUGGCUCUACCGUGCCUAGUGGCCCCGUGGUAGUCAACAUUCCCACCCUAGGAAUGAGCCUUUCUCACGGUAAUCCACUGCGGCGCCCAAUCCUGCACGGCGAACGCAUCGCAAUGGCCAACUCCGGAGUGCCGGCUUGUAGGGAGCGACCCUCACAAGCAUGUGCGAAUGAGCACAAUGGCAAGCAUGCUAUCAGUAUGUCUCAAGUACCAAGUCCUCAUGUCUACAACAUGUAAUAUAUCACAACUCUCUCAUAGGCCUAUCUCUAUGUCAUCAUGUCUAAAACAUGGAAAUAAUAGUUGCUCAUGGCCUAUCUCUAUAUCUCAAUACAAUAGUCUCAUAAUGUGCUAGUCUAAGUGCCCCUUUAUGAUACUUUCGUUUACUAAGUCCAAGCUUAACCCAAAGGUUCAUGAAUGCUUAAUUAAGUCAUUCUAAACACAUAGAACAUGAUUCUAAACGACUAGCAUGAGCACUACCCAAAUGCAUGCAACAACACCCGCAAUGCUCUACUAUAUAGAGUGAAAAUUUUCUUAUACAUAACACAUGCAUUUUAGGGGUUCUAAAAUUCACAUAAAUUCCAUUUAGCAUAGAUUUGCAUUUAAAAAAAAGUAUACGAAAUGUUUAGAAAGCUUAGGGGCCAUUUCGCCCCGUUUUCAUGAAGCCAAACCCACCAAAAUCGACUUCCUCGUUUCGCCGAACGAAGGUAUCCACAAGCUUCCUAGUACCCUAGAAGCAUCAAAAGUAGGGUUACCCGAACGAAACGAGGAGCCAAUAGCUUAAUCAUUAACCAUCUAGCAAAAGGGUCAAAACUCACCUCUUGUGAAGAAAUCCCUAAACAAGCUUCCAAAGAGAGCUAGAAUCCUUCCAAUCCCACCUAAAGGAAGAUUCUAAACCCAUCUAUUAGGUUCCAAAGCCCUCAAAACGAAAAUCCCCAAAUCUAACCCUAAAUCCCAAAAUCUAGAGUUUCAAACAAAAGAACCAUCAAAACUAGAUCUAGAAGAAAGGAUCUAGUUACUAACCUCUUAUAAACUUCAAACCAAGCUCCAAGGUCCCAAGGGUUGAAGAUCCUCCCUCCACAAAGCUCUAAUCCCGAGCUCCAGGCUUCUCUCAUGGACGAAACCCAACAAGAAGCAAGAAAAGCAAGGAGGAGGAGAUAAAAACCCACUAAAAUCCAUCAAAAAUGGAAAAGAACUCAAGAGAGGGAGUUCUUACCUCUUCUCCACUGGUCUAGGGCUCAAAAGAGCAGCUAAGGGGGCUCUGGUGGUAUUUAAAGAGGUUGCAACAAUUGCAAAUACACCCCUCCCCGAAAACAGCCCAGUCUGCAUUGUGUACCGGUACACGGAAAAGUGUACCGGUACACUUCCUACGAAACAGCCCAACCCGAGCCUCGGGUUGGCCGAAAACCCGAAAUGUACCGAUACAACCAUCAAGGUGUACCGGUACAAAUCCUGUACCGGUACAACCAUCAAGGCUGUACCGGUACACAACCUGGCUGAGGCUAACCCAAGAGUAGGACCAACAAUCCAUCUUUUUGGAUUUUGGUAUAAGCUUUAAACCUCAAUUCUCGAGGUGCGAGCCAUAGGUCGGAACACUGUCAACGACCUUCCAGAAUAACUGGCAAAGCUCGGAACGUGGAUCAAACACUCGAACCUCGCUAUUUGCAACGGUUCAGUGUGUUACAUGACGUGGGCACUCCGUGAAGUCGCACAAUCUCAUCAAGGUACAAUUGUGUGAGCUUCUCCUCAGUCCGAGUUGUAUGAAUAGGUAUGAAGUGCGCCGACUUCGUCAACCUAUCCACGAUCACCCAUAUAGCAUCAUGCCCGGCCUGAGAGCGGGGCAGUCCAGUCACGAAAUCCAUGGUGAUCUUCUCCCACUUCCACACUGGAAUCG
This 7049-nucleotide long non-coding RNA is filed under the name Ananas comosus (pineapple). Its description in RNAcentral is "long non-coding RNA (ACOM_LNC035319)". The record is from RNAcentral. Lineage: Eukaryota; Viridiplantae; Streptophyta; Magnoliopsida; Poales; Bromeliaceae.